GAACGGGUGAGUACACGUGGGUGAUCUGCCCUGCACUUUGGGAUAAGCCUGGGAAACUGGGUCUAAUACCGAAUAGGACCACGCGCUUCAUGGUGUGUGGUGGAAAGCUUUUGCGGUGUGGGAUGGGCCCGCGGCCUNUNNNCNUGUUGGUGGGGUAAUGGCCUACCAAGGCGACGACGGGUAGCCGGCCUGAGAGGGUGACCGGCCACACUGGGACUGAGAUACGGCCCAGACUCCUACGGGAGGCAGCAGUGGGGAAUAUUGCACAAUGGGCGCAAGCCUGAUGCAGCGACGCCGCGUGAGGGAUGACGGCCUUCGGGUUGUAAACCUCUUUCAAUAGGGACGAAGCGCAAGUGACGGUACCUAUAGAAGAAGCACCGGCCAACUACGUGCUAGCAGCCGCGGUAAUACGUAGGGUGCGAGCGUUGUCCGGAAUUACUGGGCGUAAAGAGCUCGUAGGUGGUUUGUCGCGUUGUUCGUGAAAACUCACAGCUUAACUGUGGGCGUGCGGGCGAUACGGGCAGACUAGAGUACUGCAGGGGAGACUGGAAUUCCUGGUGUAGCGGUGGAAUGCGCAGAUAUCAGGAGGAACACCGGUGGCGAAGGCGGGUCUCUGGGCAGUAACUGACGCUGAGGAGCGAAAGCGUGGGGAGCGAACAGGAUUAGAUACCCUGGUAGUCCACGCCGUAAACGGUGGGUACUAGGUGUGGGUUCCUUCCUUGGGAUCCGUGCCGUAGCUAACGCAUUAAGUACCCCGCCUGGNGAGUACGGCCGCAAGGCUAAAACUCAAAGGAAUUGACGGGGGCCCGCACAAGCGGCGGAGCAUGUGGAUUAAU
This 836-nucleotide ribosomal RNA is filed under the name uncultured bacterium. RNAcentral's name for it is "bacterial SSU rRNA". It matches the Rfam family "Bacterial small subunit ribosomal RNA", at positions 100 to 950 of the family's 1533-position model. The record is from RNAcentral.